UGCAGUCGAGCGCGAAAGCACUUCGGUGUGAGUAAAGCGGCGGACGGGUGAGUAACGCGUAGGAAUCUACCUAGUAGUGGGGGACAACUCGGGGAAACUCGAGCUAAUACCGCAUACGCCCUACGGGGGAAAGCGGGGGACCUUCGGGCCUCGUGCUAUUAGAUGAGCCUGCGUUGGAUUAGCUAGUUGGUGGGGUAAAGGCCUACCAAGGCGACGAUCCAUAGCUGGUCUGAGAGGAUGAUCAGCCACACCGGGACUGAGACACGGCCCGGACUCCUACGGGAGGCAGCAGUGGGGAAUAUUGCGCAAUGGGCGAAAGCCUGACGCAGCCAUGCCGCGUGUGUGAAGAAGGCCUUCGGGUUGUAAAGCACUUUCAAUUGGGAGGAAAGGUUCACGGUUAAUAACCGUGAGCUGUGACGUUACCUUUAGAAGAAGCACCGGCUAACUCCGUGCCAGCAGCCGCGGUAAUACGGAGGGUGCAAGCGUUAAUCGGAAUUACUGGGCGUAAAGCGCGCGUAGGUGGUCUGUUAAGUCGGAUGUGAAAGCCCCGGGCUCAACCUGGGAACUGCAUCCGAUACUGGCAGACUAGAGUGCGAGAGAGGGAGGUAGAAUUCCACGUGUAGCGGUGAAAUGCGUAGAUAUGUGGAGGAAUACCAGUGGCGAAGGCGGCCUCCUGGCUCGACACUGACACUGAGGUGCGAAAGCGUGGGGGGCAAACAGGAUUAGAUACCCUGGUAGUCCACGCCGUAAACGAUGUCUACUAGCUGUAGGGGUACUUGAGACCUUUGUAGCGCAGCUAACGCAAUAAGUAGACCGCCUGGGGAGUACGGCCGCAAGGUUAAAACUCAAAUGAAUUGACGGGGGCCCGCACAAGCAGUGGAGCAUGUGGUUUAAUUCGAUGCAACGCGAAGAACCUUACCAGGCCUUGACAUCCUCGGAACUUUCUAGAGAUAGAUUGG
Molecule: ribosomal RNA, 959 nt
Filed under: uncultured marine bacterium
Lineage: Bacteria
Description: bacterial SSU rRNA
Rfam family: Bacterial small subunit ribosomal RNA
Source: RNAcentral